CCUCCUGGUGAUGCUCACGCUGUGCUAAGUGUCGGUGGCCAUCAAGGUUUUUGCAUCCUGGGGACGAAUCCUGACCUUGCCAGAGACGGACAUCGAAAGGUCCGGCCUCUGUUCCCCUGUGAGGAGCAGCCACGGCCCAGCAAGAUGUCCCGGCACCACAGCCGCUUCGAACGAGAUUACCGCGUGGGCUGGGACCGCCGAGAGUGGAGCGCCAACGGUACGCAUGGGACCACCAGCAUCUGCAGCGCCACCGCGGGGGCCGGUGGCGGCUCAGCCAGUAGCCUCAGCGCCCGGCCCGGCCUCUUGCCGCUGCCCGUGGUGCCGUCCCGGCUGCCCACGCCCGCCACCGCCCCGGCUCCCUGCACUACCGGCAGCAGUGAGGCCAUCACCAGCCUCGUGGCCAGCUCUGCCUCCGCCGUCACCACCAAGGCUCCCGGCAUCUCCAAAGCGGAUAGUCAGUCCCAGGGACUCACGACCAGCAUCCGGUGGGGGCAGACGCCCAUCAAUCAGUCCACGCCCUGGGACACUGAUGAGCCGCCCUCCAAACAGAUGAGGGAGAGCGACAAUCCAGGCACAGGGCCAUGGGUGACCACGGUGGCCGCCGGGAACCAGCCUGCCCUGAUCGCACACUCCUAUGGAGUGGCCCAGCCUCCUACCUUCAGCCCGGCUGUGAACGUCCAGGCCCCAGUCAUUGGGGUGACCCCCUCACUGCCUCCCCACGUGGGGCCCCAGCUCCCGCUGAUGCCAGGCCACUACUCGCUCCCACAGCCACCCUCUCAGCCGCUGAGUAGCGUGGUGGUCAACAUGCCGGCCCAGGCCCUGUACGCCAGCCCACAGCCCCUGGCCAUGUCCACACUGCCUGGCGUGGGGCAGGUGGCCCGUCCGGGACCCACUGCCGUGGGCAACGGCCACAUGGCAGGGCCCCUGCUGCCUCCACCAGCACCAGCCCAGCCGUCUGCCACCCUCCCCAGCGGUGCCCCUGCCACCAAUGGGCCCCCCACGACUGACUCGGCCCAUGGGCUGCAGAUGCUGCGGACAAUUGGCGUGGGGAAGUAUGAGUUCACCGACCCUGGGCACCCCAAAGAAAUGUUGAAGGAAUUGAACCAGCAGCGCAGAGCGAAAGCGUUUACAGACCUGAAAAUUGUUGUUGAAGGCAGAGAGUUUGAAGUCCACCAAAAUGUUCUAGCUUCCUGCAGCUUGUAUUUCAAGGACCUGAUUCAAAGGUCGGUGCAAGAUGGCAGCCAGUGUGGCCGGGAGAAGCUGGAGCUCGUCCUGUCCAACCUGCAGGCCGAUGUCCUUGAACUGCUCCUGGAGUUUGUCUACACGGGCUCCCUGGUCAUCGACUCGGCCAAUGCCAAGACGCUGCUGGAGGCCGCCAGCAAGUUCCAGUUCCACACCUUCUGCAAAGUCUGUGUGUCCUUUCUCGAGAAGCAGCUGACGGCCAGCAACUGCCUGGGGGUCCUGGCCAUGGCUGAGGCCAUGCAGUGCAGCGAGCUCUACCACAUGGCCAAGGCCUUUGCGCUGCAGAUCUUCCCUGAGGUGGCGGCCCAGGAGGAGAUCCUCAGCAUCUCCAAGGACGACUUCAUCGCCUACAUCUCCAAUGACAGCCUCAACACGAAGGCCGAGGAACUAGUAUAUGAGACCGUCAUCAAGUGGAUCAAGAAGGACCCCGUGGCCCGUGCACAGUAUGCCGCAGAGCUCCUGGCCGUGGUCCGCCUCCCCUUCAUCCACCCCAGCUAUCUGCUCAACGUGGUUGACAACGAGGAGCUGAUCAAGUCGUCAGAAGCGUGUCGGGACCUGGUCAACGAGGCCAAACGCUACCACAUGCUGCCCCACGCCCGCCAGGAGAUGCAGACACCCCGAACCCGGCCCCGCCUCUCUGCAGGUGUGGCUGAGGUCAUCGUCUUGGUUGGGGGCCGUCAGAUGGUGGGGAUGACCCAGCGCUCACUGGUGGCCGUCACCUGCUGGAACCCACAGAACAACAAGUGGUACCCCCUCGCCUCACUGCCCUUCUAUGACCGAGAGUUCUUCAGCGUAGUGAGUGCCGGGGACAACAUCUACCUCUCAGGUGGGAUGGAAUCAGGGGUGACGCUGGCCGAUGUCUGGUGCUACAUGUCCCUGCUCGAUAACUGGAACCUCGUCUCCAGAAUGACGGUCCCCCGCUGCCGGCACAACAGCCUUGUCUACGAUGGGAAGAUUUACACCCUCGGGGGACUUGGCGUGGCGGGCAACGUGGACCACGUGGAGAGGUAAUGAGGCCACAGUCACGAAAGCUAAAAUCACUUUGCUCCUCUACCCCAGCACCAACCCAGCCGAGGCCGACUGGAGACGGGACAUUUAGAGGGCAAUAGUCCCAGGCUCUUCAAACACGGCAAAGGGAGAGGACCGAGGGUGGUGAGAGGGAAGCAGGAAUGAUGACGGCUGGCCCAGCCGCUGAGAUGGGGCACUCUUGUCCCGUUCAGGGGUCAGACAAGCUGGAGGCAUAGUGGUGCAAAGGCACAGGAUGGGCGCGGCUGGCCUGACCGGGCAGCUAGGAGGCGCACUGGCACUGGAAGUCCCAGCCCAGAGCGGCGCUGAGACAUGGGGCAAAGCUGCAAGCAAUGGCCCAAAUGUGUGCCACGUCAGUGGCUGUGACUCCAGAUCCCUGCCGAGCGGGAGGUUCCACACCAGGGAGCCCCUUCCUCCCUCUUUCCCACACAUCCCAGGAAACCUGCUUGCCACACGGGGAACAGUCACUGCAUGCAGGUCUGGCCAACCGUCUGGAAUUCUCUAGAAUACAAAGUAAUGGGCCGGAGAGCCAUGCGUGUAAGCCUGCCCUCUGCUGGAAAUCCCAGGCUGGCUUCCUCACUGAGGCCCAUUUAAAACUGGCCACGCGUAGUGUAGGGAUCAGGUGGAGGCAGAAGGGGCGUAGGCUGGAGGUGGGCACUUCGCGGGGUGCAAAGACCAUCUUUUCCUUUGAGCUGGAGCCCACCCUUGCAGAGGACGGACACUGUGGGGAGAAGCCACAGAAAGAGCUCAGGAAGGCUCAUGAGUCAGCAGCAAACAGGGGAGGCCUCAGUGCAGUCCUGCUCUGUGAGAAAAAAGUGCCCAGAGAGCCCCAAGUCAGACCGAGCUGCUCCCCAAGGACCGGCCCAGGAGGUCACAGCUCCGGUCCCCAGAGCUCUUUUUCCACAUCCUUCCCAUGUGCUUGCCCACCACCCUUGGCCCACGUCAUCAGCUGUCACAGAAUGCACAUCUUCCCGUGCGGCAGCUUUCUGCCUGUGGACCCUCACGUACCCCUCAAUUUGUAUUUUUUCCCUCAGUGGCUAAUUGGACACUUGACAAAUGUUACAGCAAAGAUAGUUUCAGAGUGAGACGAGCUCUGGAUAUUCACUGUGGGCUUUUAACUCCCCCAAGUGGAGCCCAGAGAUGGCUCAGUAACAACAUCUAAUUGUCAUAUUGAUUUGGAGAUAAUGGGGAAUCCCUGUGUGGUUAUGAGGAUAUUAAUACUGCUGUUGAACCCGGGUCACCCCUGAUGCUGACAGCUUUCAGUGGGACCCACUGCACGGCCAUCACGUCCCAAGCCUUCCAGAAGCACCAGCUCCCAACCGUUUGUCAUCCAAUAAUAAACACAUGAAAAAGACAUUUUCUAUGUAGGAGUAAACUGAGCUAGACCUGUCAUCCUGUCUUGCUUUUGUCAGCUAUUUUUAAUCUCCUAAGAUGCUGAUUACUCAUUUUGCAAACUUAUACUUGUUGAUAAAUACAGGGAUUUGUUCAAGGAUCAAAUGCACGAAGAGGGGGGACAGGCUCCGCUCCCCCUGGGCUCAAGAGCAAUUCUCCAAGGCCUGGAAGCAGUCUGUACUGGCCUUCCCUGGGGGCUGGGCCUUCGUUCCACUGUGAAAUACCCGCCCGCUCGAGCACAGUGUGAGCAAAGCACCCCAGGAACUUUAGGAGAUGGGGAGCCCCCCAGGACAACAGGGUGCCCAGAGCCCUUCCUCAGCCCUCUGGUAGACCUCUGGGUGGUAUGCAUACCAAUGGGGUGGAGGACACAGGCAGAGGAGACGUGCACUGCUUCCCGAGGAACGGAACGUAGCUGGAGCCCCUUUGGGCAAGGAAUUUCUGUGCCACAUGGUGGCGAUGAGAAUUCAGGGUGACAAGAAGGUCAGGGUAAUGGGGACAGACACGAGGGUGCUUUGUUCCCCAGAAAGCGCUAAUGGUACAAAUUGCUCUUAUAUUGAUAAUGAAUGAGAUAUAUGGUACAUUAUAAUUAUAUUACAUUACUGUAUUACAGGAAUAGAGCAAGAUUAUAUAAUUAUAGAUUAAAACAACAGUGCCAUAGACAAGCCUGUAUUAUAUCAUUAUAUAAAUAACUGGGUCUAAUACUUCAUAGCAAUAUAUUGCACUAGCUGUGGUUACCGGAUAAAUGAUAGCAGAGUGCCUCACUCCACAGGGUCAUUUGCAUGUCAUUAGCAUAUCCUUCUCAAGCAGGAAGCUGACAGAUUGAGCUGACGGAGGGCUUGUGGCUUGGCAAUCAGCCACCUGGAAUAACAAACUCUCGGGAAAUUCGCAUUUGGCGGAAUGUGCCAUUAUACCGAAAGCCUGAAGACAGCCACAUAAUCUUCCACUGUCACCCAGCUCUUCUGCAGGAGCUCUUUGGAUCUCUGCCAUGUUGGCUUAAAAAACAGAUAUCUGAACUUCUGACACUGUCCAAAAAGACACUUACUGCAUUGCCUAUUAAGCCACAUAUCAUUCGACUGGGGCUUAACUGAAUCAGCGCCUGCUGCCCUGUAAGGUACUUCAGCCGCUUCUCAAACCCGGAGUCUUCCCAGGCACAGAGCUGGACGUCCCAUCCCUGUCCCCUCAUCCCUGUCUCAGAGCCAGGAGCACCGGCUAAGAGAGGCCAUCUUCUGGAUCACUAAGCUGUGACCGUGUUAUGGCCCGUGUCCCAGGGAGGCUGCUGGGAAAAAGUGGGCCCUGUGUGCUUCACAGGAAAGGUGUGCUGGGAAAAACCCAGACCACAGCGGAGGCCCCACCUUGGGUCCGGAACACGCGAAAGAGCCAUGUGGUGAGCGGUAGAUCGGCCACCAAGUGGAAGGUCCAGAGUGAAUGCUGGUGAGACCAGCCCUCUAGGAACAAUUGACAGAGACGCCGAGAACUGAGAUCCAAGCUGUCCAGGAAGACCUCAGAUACCCCAGUUCCUUGGCUGAUCUGCUCCAUCCCCAAUCUCUCCCCAUCAGCUGCUUCCUGUCACUUUUGUCCCUGCCUUGUCCGGUACUCGCACUCUAUCGCUUCUCCAUGUUCUUACUUUGCUACUUUGUCCUGUAGUACACGUGUCACAGAUCUGUUCAGCCCUGACUCGUCCCCUUCUCCACGCCUACCCCCGGGGGCUGAACACUGGUGGAGAAAAUCCCACUGUCCAGUAGAUUGGCCCCAUGACAAAGUGAAGUCGUCCAACGAAUACUGGGUCCUUCAUGCUGCAGGGUCCUGUCAGCGGUUUCUCUCGCUCUCAAGAGCGUGUGGUUCUCGUCUCCUCCUCCCCGAUCAAGGCUCUGAGCCCACAGACUCCAAUACUCCUGCCGGCACUGACUCCUACUUCACAGAGAAGGUGGAGCCCUCAAUCAACAACUCUCUGGUGUCCCUGCCGUCACUUCUGCAUAUGUACUGACGCUCAUGCCAUCCUUGCCUUCCUCUCUCCCACCCACACGGACACCACUUCCCUCUCCACUCUGGACCCUACCUGCAUCUCCCCACCAGGAGCCUCCUUUGAUCAGCCCUCCCCUCUCUUUCAUAUAUAUUUAAUCUUUUUCUUAUCCAUUUGGCCUCCUUCCUGUCGGCACAUUAAACACAAGUAAGCCCUUCCCCCUAAAAUUAAAACAAAAACCGUGGUAUGCCGUAGCUCGUUCAUACUGGCUCCCAAGAGGUGACUACUACCUUUAUAGGAAUUCUGCAAGCCAGUUGUUAGCUACAGGUGUUAUUAAAAAUCAAAUCAUAUAAACUUAGAACUAAAUAAGUUACAUUAAAAACAAAGGAAAUCCAUACUCAAAACUCAUCACUGCUUUUUUUUUUUUUUAACUAUAUUUUUCACUGUCUAUGCUCUGGAGGUGAUAUGUCCACUGUGUCUGUAUAUGGGUAUAUGGUGGAUAUUCUGACUGGCAGUGUCCUCUUCCCAAUGCCACAUUCAGCCAUGAGCCAUCGGUAGCUUGAAAUCAGCCAAGAUGAGAGGAUUUACAUCACAGAAAUCAGCAAGUGCUUACAUAUCAGGACUCUUUUCCCCUAGCAAGCUUGUUUUUAAACACUUCUCAGCAUACCACCGACAAAAGCCAUCUCUUAGCUCCAUAUGCCUUCUUAGGUCCCACCUUCUCUGCCCCUUUCCCAGCUAAGUUUCAUCCAAGAGAAGUCCCCCCAUCGUGUCUACUGCCUCCCUCUCAUUCACUUCGUGAUUCACAACUAGCUCUUGACGAGAGCGCCGGGAACCCGUCUGGGACUUCUUUGACCUCCUGCCAUAUCCCCCACCCGUGGAGCUGUGUGCCCCCUGUGCUGCCGCCACUUCCCCGGGGACCCCCUCAGCUCCCCUCUUAGAGGCCAGCAUUUCCUCAGAGUGCCCUCUGUUCCUCAGUCUUACUCUUGCCUACGCAGCCCCUGUAAGCUCCUCUCCCUUCAGUUUCCAGCUCUGUGCCAACAGCGACCCCUCGGCUGCACAUCUAGGCCACAGAUCCGUAUAUCCAACGCCCCACUGCACAUCCCCGGUCUGUUACCCACAGAUGCCUUAAACUCCCCAUGAAUAAAACAGAAAUCAUCACUCUCCUCCAAACUCCCCAACCUCGAUUCCCUGUCCCCCGGGUAGCACCCCCUCCAUCCAACUUCCCAAGCCAGAGACCCUGAGUCAUCCUAGGUGACUCUACCUUCCUUAACGGCAACAUCAGUUAAUGACUGAACCCUGUCAGGUCACCUCUCCUGUUCCCACCUCCUCUCGUCCUUCCCUGGUCCAGCCCACUGCUUCCCCAGCUUCCAGCCCAGAGCCUGGGUAGACGGCAGAUGCUCAGUGCAGAACCGUCCGACAAAAGGGUAGGAAUGAGCUGGAUAGAAACGGAUACAGGGGCCUAGAAGCUGGGGAGCUCUGUGGGAGCAGAAGAAUGGAGACCAGAAUCUGCACAGAGGCAAGAAAGAGCCCACUGGGGUUCAGGAGGAAGGCUGAGAGGGCUACAUCUCUUAUAC
Prionailurus viverrinus (fishing cat) is the source of this 7194-nucleotide RNA transcript. It is a transcript of the gene named kelch like family member 29, with no coding region annotated. Lineage: Eukaryota; Metazoa; Chordata; Mammalia; Carnivora; Felidae. The record is from RefSeq and is a predicted model, not a curated record. The transcript is spliced from 11 exons.